Molecule: ribosomal RNA, 279 nt
Filed under: uncultured bacterium
Lineage: Bacteria
Description: partial 16S ribosomal RNA
Rfam family: Bacterial small subunit ribosomal RNA
Source: RNAcentral
UGCCAGCCGCCGCGGUAACACGUACUGUGCGAACGUUAUUCGGAAUCACUGGGCUUAAAGGGUGCGUAGGCGGCUUUGCAAGUCAGAUGUGAAAUGCCACAGCUCAACUGUGGCACUGCGUUUGAAACUGCAUGGCUUGAGUAUUCCAGGGGUGAGCGGAACUGCCAGUGGAGCGGUGAAAUGUGUUGAUAUUGGCAGGAACACCGGUGGCGAAAGCGGCUCACUGGGGGAUAACUGACGCUGAGGCACGAAAGCCAGGGGAGCGAACGGGAUUAGAUA